This 6451-nucleotide long non-coding RNA is filed under the name Sus scrofa (pig). RNAcentral describes it as "lncRNA (ENSSSCG00000056755.1)". The record is from RNAcentral. Lineage: Eukaryota; Metazoa; Chordata; Mammalia; Artiodactyla; Suidae.
UAAACAUGGAAAGCAGUUAUUUUGGUUUAUUAAAGGAAUUGAGAGGGAAAAGCUAAUGAAGACUUAGAAGAGUUUGCAAUAGACUUGAGAGCGCUAGAGGCGGGAAAGAAAAUUAGGUGAUAAAAUUGACAUAUGUUCUUCAUAGAUUUUUUGAACGUUUUUAAAAAGAAUAAAUGAUUGAUAGUAUACCUAAGAGAAAAUUAUAGUUAGUUUUUUAUCUGAGGAGAAGAAAUACCUUGAGGAAGUGGUAGCAAGCAGUUGGUAUCAAUUUAGAUGGGAAUUGAGAUAACAGGACAUUGAGGAAGGAAUGGAUGUUUAAAGUGUUAAGGAAUUACUGCCAAGAAUUGCCCUCCAGCCCUUUGAGUAGUACCUAUGACCUAACCAGCCCUUGAAGAUAUAACCAUUGGAAUGCUGUCCCAUUAAUUUUGCCACUUCCUAGCCUCUUGCUAUCUUUUUUGGGACACUAAAAUCUCAUUUGCCUCCCACACCCACCUUCCAUUAGAAUGUAAACACCAUGAAGUUAAGAAUUUCUCUCUUUUUUUACAGCUGACUCCUCAGUGCCCAGAAUAAUGUUUAGUAACUCUAGAUCUAAACAGUGUCUUGAAGUAUAGGCUCUUAACUUGAUGUUUAGGAUCAAUAAAUGAAAAUCAAAUAAUACUAAAUUUAGCAGGGACCUCAGAGGUCAUGCAGCCCACUAUUUCUUUACUACCUGUCUGUGGAUCUUUAAGGAAGAUUUUUUUAUUACUCUGAGUCUUAUCUCAAUGUUCAGAAUGACAGUUGGAUUUAAUGCUUUUAUCCUCCCUUGCCUUCUCCAUUUCUCUCAUGUUUGGGAUCCAAAGUAUAUAAUUACACUAGUUUUUCAGCAUAACAUUACUGAUCUGGUCCAGUCCCCUACCUGAUGCAGAAGUCACUUAUGUGGCAUAUGGUUCUGUGGGACUCUUCUAAGAAUAAAGCACACACUGGGGGGGGGGGGUGUGAGAGAGAGAGUGUGUGUGUGUGUUUGUGUGAUCCAACAAAUAAACAGUUAUGUUGUGCUAGGCUAUGGAGGUAAUGUGAUAAAAGAUAAUUUCCCUACCCUCACAGGGCUUACAGUCUGGUAGAAUUUUACAAAGUCUCUAAACGCUUUCCCUGUCCUCUCUUUAUUCUCAAAGCUCUUUGGAAAGAAAAGGCAGACUAAUGGGAAGAAAUAAAAAAAAACAGCGGGGUUUAACUUCCAAUGAAUGAUAUUAAGGUCAAAUAUUCACUUUUUAGUUUUCAGGGCCUUCCAAUUCAAUUCAUUUCAUUCAGUGAGCACCUACUGAGCAUCUUGAGGCCUUGGCUAGAUUCUGAGGAAUGAAAGCAAAGAUAAAGCCCCUAGUCACAAGGGGGAACGUGCAAAUGUAUAAAUACUCUUCAGUGUGCUAAGUGCUACAUGUUAACUUUUCUGAGUGAUCAGUUCCAUUGGAGAGCCCUAGCUAAUAUAAAAUCCUUUUUCUUUUUUCUUUUUGGCUGCACCCUCGGCAUUUGGAAGUUCCUGGGCCAAGAUUCAAACCCAUGCCACAGCAGGAACACAAGCCACUGCAGUGAUAAUGCUGAAUCCUUAACCGACUGCACCACAAGACAACUCCCAAAUCUGCCUCUUUUAAAAUUUCUGUUAGUUGAUCCCAGUUUUGUCCUCUGAGCUCAUCAUGUAUUUAUUUGACCCAUAAACAUUUAUUGGGGAACUGCAAGUGCCAUAAUAUGCCAAGUUCUCUUCAUAGACAAAUAGGACAUGACCUUUACCCUCAAGAAGGUUAGGACAUAAUUCUGCAACAUCGAGCAAGUUGUUUAAGCUGAGUUCAGUUUCUAUCCCUAGGAAUUGAGGGUAGUAUUUAUACCUACUCCUUGGGAUUAUUGUGAGGAUUAAAUGAAUAAUGCUUUGGAUGCUCUUAUUACAGAGCCUGGUACACAGCUUUUGACAAAUGUGAGCUAUUGUUUUCCUACAUUUAAAGAGGGAUCCCAAUAAGCAAAUUAGCAGUUGCAGUGUUGAUAUGAAUGAAGUAAACACAGAGUGCUAUGGGAAUAUACCAGAGGAACACCUAAUCUUGGCUAGAGAGGCUAGGGAACAUGCUGUAGGAGGAGACAUCUGAGCUCCGCAUUGCAGGACUGAAUAGUGGGAAUGCAAAGGGUACCAGGAAAGAGGCAAGGGAAAGAGACAGGACAGCAUGGUGCAUUCAGGUUAAGUCAGUUGUUUAAGCUGGUCAGAAGACUAUUUCAAGUGAGAAUUAGGACGUAGUGACCAAUUAAAUAUAGCUGAGCCGGAGAAAAGGAAGAGAUGGUAUCAAAGGUAAUUUUUUUUUUUAAUGUUUUGUUUGGCUGCACUCAGGGAAUAUGAAAAACCCUAUCAGGGAUCGAACCUGUGCCACAGAAGUGACACCAACAGCUCCUUAACCACUAGGCCACCAGGGAACUCCCAAAGAUAAUUCUUUUCUCUUUUUUCUUUUUCAGUCUUUUUAGGGCUGCGCCUGCAGCAUAUGGAAGUUCCCAGGCUAGAGGUCAAAAUACAGCCUACACCACAGCCAUAGCAACACCAGAUCUGAGCCAUGUCUGCAGACUACACCAGAGCUCAUGGCAAUGCCAGAUCCUUAACCCACUGAGCAAAGCCAGGGAUGGAACCAGAGUCCUCAUGGACACUAGUCGGGUUCCUUACCGCUGAGCCACGAUGGGAAAUCCUUGACUUCCUUUUUAUGUCCACAGGGAAGAAUCUGGAGAAAGGGAGGGUUGAAGAUAUAGAAUAGGAUGUAAGUAGAUAAUAAAAAAGGAUUCCUGAGAGGGCAGAGGAGGUGACAUCCUGUGGAGGAAAAAAUGUCUUAAAUAGGAGGAAGGACAGCUCUUCUACCAGCUAGAGCUGUGUGGACACAGGCACAUCAAAAAGAGAGAGUGAACCUGAAUUAUUUGAUGAUGUUUCUGAGACCAAGUCAUCUUUUAAGAGUUGACAAGGGGAGAAGGGGCAGGGCUGGGGUGCAGGAGCUUGAAAAGUUCUAUUGAAAAGAGGAGACACCUAGAAAGCAUGGGAAAUGGCAGCAUUGCCUUUUGUGUCUCUAUGCUUUGUCAGUGUCUCCCUGUAGUAACUGAGGCACCCACAAGGAUCUGUACCAGCACAGUGUAAGGUGAGACUGCUGUCUCCCUUCAACUGUCAGUUCCCUUGUUUAGAAUCUUAAUCUUUUACUAAUGUAGCCUCUGAUUGCAUGAGCUAUUUUUUAAAAUAGCUCUUUCAUACUGAAAGACCAAGAAAAAGCAUUUCUCCAGCAGCCAGAGUCAGAGGAAAAAAAAUUCUCUUGGUCAUGCCGGUGGCAUGUGGAAUUUCCCGAGCCAGGGAUCACACUGUGCCAGAGCAGUGACCAGAGCUACUACAAUGACAACUAAUCCUUAACCCUCUGCACCACAAGGGAACUCCCAGAGGAAAAUUUGAGUCAGUAAUGAUUACUGUUCAAAAGAAUGUGCUACUUAAAUAAAAUUUAAAAAUAAUUCAGAAAUUGUUCAAACUUAAAUAAAAACCCUUCUAAAUAUUUUCAACAUAGUAAGAGACACAAGCAAGAAUUAGUUGAAAAAUGAAGGUCUGGCAAAUGCUUAAAAAUGUCUAUGUAAUUCUGAGUGCAGAUGGCAUUCAAAUAAGCAUACUAUAUGGAUAUGCCAUUAUUGCCAGCUGUCAUUCACUUAGUUGGAAACUAGAUUAAACCUAUGGGUGGAUUUUGUUUUCCAAAAUAUUGUUUUAAAAUGUAUUCUUCACUAAUCAUUCUCUCUUAGUCUACACCUGGCUACUUGAUGAUCUUAUGUUAAUUUGCUCACUGCUGAAGCCAUUUGAGUUUACUCCUGCUCCACCAUGCUCUAAUAUGACCAGUCAACUAGAUCAACUGAAAGUUAUAAGCAACCAUAUUAUGUUAACCUCAGAGCUGCUUUCACUGAAUUACUAUUUUGUGUGCAAUCACUGGCUUUUAUUGAGGAAUGCAAUUUAAAAAAUCUUCAUAAUACAUGUAGUGGUAAAAAAACAUAUUUCAAAAAGAUACAUGCACCCCAAUAUUCACUGCAUCACUAUUUUCAAUAGCUAAGACAUGGAAACAACCUAAAUGUCCAUCAAGAGAUGAAUAGAUAAAGAAGGUGUGGUAUAUAGAUAUAAUGGAAUAUUACUCAGCCAUAAAAAGAACAAAAUAAUGGCAUUUGCAGCAACAUGGAGGGACCAAGAGGUUUUCAUACUGAAUGAAAAUAAUACAAAAAAAAUUUAUAAAACAGAAACAAACUGAGAUUUCAAAACUAAUCUUUUGGUUACCAUAUGGGAAACCAUAGAAGGGAGAGAGGAAGUGAGAGGAUGGGAUUAACAUAUACACACUAAUGUAUAAAAUAGAUAAUAAGAACCUACCAUAUAGCACAGGGAAAUCUCAAUAGUUUUUAAUAACCUAUAUGUUAUUACAUAUAAAAAGAAUGGAUAUAUGUAUAACUGAUUUACUCUGGUGUACACCUGAAAUGAAUACAACAUGGUAAGUCAACUACAUUCCAAUAAAAAUUUUUUAAAAACCAUGUAGUGGUGAUUACUGUAAGUGGGAUGAGUGUACAUUUUGAUUUUGUGGGGAGAGUUCCAGUUUACACUUAUUGUCCCAGCAUAAUAUUUAAUAGUUCCCCUUUCACGCUCAAGAAAUACUGCAGUUAUAUGAUCUCAGUGUUGUUCUUUUCAUUAUACAAUGCCCUUUCUAUGAAGUUUUUUGAGUAACUUUUGAUCCUUUUGAUGGAAAUCAGUCAUAGUUGUGCUUCUUAGCAGUUGGAUUGUUUUUUUAUUAUUUACACAUGGUGACUCAUAACUACUCAAGCAGCCCUUUUAAAGUUGACCUUAGAAAGUUUAGGGUCAAAUUUGCCACCUGCCUCAGAAGCGGCUCAAUGGUAUACCUUUUAAUUUUAGUCUCAUUCCUUUGUUUUUCCUUUUUGUUUCUUCUUGUUUCUUACCCCCUUACCUAUUUCUAAUUUAUAUGUUGGAUUUUAUACAUCUUUGUCAGCUAUCCUAAAUUCUUUUUGAUAGGUGGUAGUGAAUAAAGAAACACAAAACAAACAAAUAUAUUGCUUCUGGAACUUACCUAAUAUUCUUGAAUGACUGGGAAACAGCUCUUUCUUACCUUGAGUGUUUAAGGCUUCCGAUUUUUGUCUAUUUCUUUGAUCCAUGAUGUUUUGAAGAGAUUGCCAGAUGUUGAUCAAAUUUGAUACACUUUUAAGAAAUGAAGAUACUGUACUUCCAAGUUGAUCUCUGAUCAGUUAGCCACCUGAAAGCAAAGUAUAGCUGAUAACAUUUUUCAAGUGUUUCCAUCUUCUAUGAUUGCAGAUCUUGGAUAGAAAGGCAAUCCAGCUUAGUGGGGGAAAAAAAGCACACAAAAAUUUAUUAUCAGACAAACCCUAUUAUUUGCCUUCUCAAAAUCUCAGGUUUUUUACCUGUAGCUUAGAGAUAAUAUUACCUAAUUCCUAGGGUAAAUGAGGCAACAUAUAUACAGUGCCUGGCAAAUAGUUCGAUACACAGUAAAUUUUGCUUACCAUCAUUUUUGUUAUCUUCACAACUUUCAAAUCACUAGGGAUUUUACACUUAGUAAGAAUCUUGAGGAUUUUUUUCUUUUUCUUUUUCUUUUCCUUUUUAGGGCCAUACCUGCAGCAUAUGGGAGUUCCCAGGCUAGGGGUGGAAUCGGAGCUGCUGCUACUGGCAUACACCGCAGCCACAGCAACACCAGAUCCUAGGCACAUCUGCAUUCUACACCACAGCUCAUGGCAAUGCUGGAUCUUUAGCCCACUGAGCAAGGCCAGGGACUGAACCUGCAUCCUCAUAGAUACUAGUGGGAUUCUUAACCUGCUGAGCCACAGUGGGAACUCUGGGUUUUGUUUUUUUUUUCUUUUGUAACCAAAAAUGUUUUGAAAGUUACACUUUUUAAGACUUAUUUACUGGCAGCCCAACAAGCCAGAUAUUUUUGAAAAGUCUCUCCCAUAGCUGAACACCUAGACACUGGCAUAUAUAUACAUAAAUAUAGUUUUAAAUGCAUUGUGGAGCUUUCAAGAAAGUAAGGAAAAUCUGGAGUUCCCACUGUGGGCAACAGGUUACUUGUCUGGUGUUGGCUCUGCAGCACCUCAGGUUUGACCCCUGGCCUGGCAUAGUGGGUUAAGGCUCUGGCAUUGCCACGGUUGUUGUGUGGGUCGCAGCUGUGGUUCAGAUUCAUUCCCUAGCCCAGGAACAAACAUAUACCAUGGGUGUGGCCAAAAAAAGAAGAAAAAAAAAGGCAAGGAAAAUCCUCAAGCUUUCUAUCCACUCUCAACAAAAAUAAAACAGCAAGCUGAAAGCAGAGAGAUAACUAAAUGAGGAACUGUGGGAGUUCUCCUGUGGUACAGCAGGUUAAGUCUCAGGCAUUAUCCCUGCAGUGGCUCAGGUUGCUGCUGUGGCAUGGGAAUUUUUCCAUAUGCUGCAGGUAUG